This 570-nucleotide long non-coding RNA is filed under the name Elaeis guineensis (African oil palm). Its description in RNAcentral is "long non-coding RNA (EGUI_LNC010669)". The record is from RNAcentral. Lineage: Eukaryota; Viridiplantae; Streptophyta; Magnoliopsida; Arecales; Arecaceae.
UUUGAGUUUCAUCUGCAUCUCUUUUUCAUUUUCUUUUUGGCCUACCAGGUGGCCUUCUUAUUAUUGGAGGUAGUGGAGGGACUAAGUUAGUCUUAGGCCACAUAUUCUGAUCGUUAAGUGGUUGGAGAAAAUGAGAAUAGGUUCUCAGAUAUGUUUUCUUAUGAACGUAACAAUGUACAAACUCUUCAGGCUUCUUUUUUAAAAAAUAGAUACAUUGUAUGGCAUGGGCACAAGGUAUACCAAUCAACUGCUAUUUGAAACAGCUGCAUUCAUACUUAUCCAAGUGCACAACAUAUUGAUUAACAUCUUGUUCAACUUCAUAUCUGCUGUCACCAGCCCAUGUAGCAAGAUAGUACCAUGAGACUUCUUUAUUCUUUUCCAGUUUCUUCAUGAUCUUAGGACAGAUUGGAUAAUCAUAUUUCAGGAUUAGUUCCCUCUUUCUGAUUGUCCUUGUCAUCACGAUCUUGUGCAUCAUCUUAAACAUUUGUACAAUAGAUUUAUUCCUUGACUGCAGUAUAAAAGAAUUGAAUGUCUUAGAUAAAUUGUUUAGGAGCAUAUCAUACCUUGGCC